RNAcentral lists this long non-coding RNA (1290 nucleotides) under Medicago truncatula (barrel medic). Its description in RNAcentral is "lncRNA gene39750". The record is from RNAcentral. Lineage: Eukaryota; Viridiplantae; Streptophyta; Magnoliopsida; Fabales; Fabaceae.
UCUUCAUCGCGCCAGUGUCGCUGUUAGAAGCUUCUCCACCGUUCAAUUUUUAAUUCAGCAACUUCACCCGGAAUCGCUGCGAUAAAGAUUGAGAGCGAAAAAAGAAUCCCGCAUCAAACAAAGUUAAGGAGUGACAGAUUCAAGCCUAUUGUAGUCGAUCCAGGAACAUAUUUAGCAAGGAGAAGUCAAAUUUUUCAAGCUACAGAGAAGAGAGCAACACCUGAUGCAUUCAAACUCUUCAUUGGUAAAUAUGUUUUCAUUAUUUUCAAUAGAGUGUGUUUUUUUUUUUUGUGUCUACUCAUUGAUAAAAAUUAGAAAAUAAAACAAUGUAACGAGACAGUAGAGCUAUUCCUAUUUAUAAACCUUAUAAAUAGGACCAACUUAAUCCAUUAUGAUGCACCUUAUAUUUUUGAAACAUUUUGUUUUUAACUCAAUUGAAUUUUGAAUUCCUCUUCUAUUAGGUCAUAAUUUUUCUUACUCAAUGUUUCUAUCAAAUUGGAUUCUAAAUCUGGGUUUUUCUUUGGCAAGAAAUGCUACUAUUUGGUGAAGAAUCAAAAUAUAGCAAUUGGGUUUUCAAGGUUGUUUUGGUUUUUGUUCUAAUCAUGGAAAAUCAUUUGAGUUUAGUGUUACAAAGUGAGCUUGAAAAUCUAUACAAAGAUGCUAUGAGAACAUUGAGUUCACUUGCUUUUUGAAUCUUCUAUGAGUUUGGUGUUCUAUGUUAAAAAAAUUAAAACCACUACCAUAGGAUGAAGCAAUAGUUUUAGAAUCAAAUGUUGAUUGACAGGAAGAUAUAUUUAUUGUCGAAGAUGUCUAACUUGCUGCCCCUGUAUUUUGCUCCAACAGAAAAUAAAGAUGGUAUGUCAGUUCUAUUAAUGAUUUUUCCGAAGUAAUAUUUUGAUUUUUGGAAGACUUAAAAUGACAUCCAUCCAAGCUUGAGUGUUUCAUCAAAUGGAUGAACAACAAAGCAUCAUGAACAACUUUCUUGAUAUAUUAACUGGGGGUGUUCAUUCCUUGAAGCAUGAAAACAACAAAGGCUAUGAAAGGACUUAACACUUGGAAUAGGCAACCAAGAUCCUAUCUUCAAGCAAUACAGCUUGCCUAAGGGAAAGGUUGGUUACCUCAAUGGAAUUUUUAACCCUUUGAACUUUGCACCAACUUUGGAGGCUAAAGAGAAGGAAAUUUCUAAUGGUAGAUUGGCAUUGUUGGCAUUCUUGGGAUUUAUCAGUCAGCACAAAGUUGCAGGAAAAGGACGAUUUGAUAACCUCUUGCAGCACCUUUCAGACCCAUGGC